This 490-nucleotide ribosomal RNA is filed under the name uncultured bacterium. RNAcentral's name for it is "partial 16S ribosomal RNA". It matches the Rfam family "Bacterial small subunit ribosomal RNA", at positions 30 to 507 of the family's 1533-position model. The record is from RNAcentral.
AUUGAACGCUGGCGGCAGGCCUAACACAUGCAAGUCGAACGGUAACAGGAAACAGCUUGCUGUUUCGCUGACGAGUGGCGGACGGGUGAGUAAUGUCUGGGAAACUGCUUGAUGGAGGGGGAUAACUACUGGAAACGGUAGCUAAUACCGCAUAACGUCGCAAGACCAAAGAGGGGGACCUUCGGGCCUCUUGCCAGCGGAUGUGCCCAGAUGGGAUUAGCUAGUAGGUGGGGUAACGGCUCACCUAGGCGACGAUCCCUAGCUGGUCUGAGAGGAUGACCAGCCACACUGGAACUGAGACACGGUCCAGACUCCUACGGGAGGCAGCAGUGGGGAAUAUUGCACAAUGGGCGCAAGCCUGAUGCAGCCAUGCCGCGUGUAUGAAGAAGGCCUUCGGGUUGUAAAGUACUUUCAGCGGGGAGGAAGGGAGUAAAGUUAAUUCCUUUACUCAUUGACGUUACCCGCAGAAGAAGCACCGGCUAACUCCGUG